This 481-nucleotide ribosomal RNA is filed under the name uncultured bacterium. Its description in RNAcentral is "partial 16S ribosomal RNA". It matches the Rfam family "Bacterial small subunit ribosomal RNA", at positions 28 to 507 of the family's 1533-position model. The record is from RNAcentral.
GAUGAACGCUGGCGGCGUGCUUAACACAUGCAAGUCGAACGAAGCACUUUAUUUGAUUUCCUUCGGGACUGAUUAUUUUGUGACUGAGUGGCGGACGGGUGAGUAACGCGUGGGUAACCUGCCUUGUACAGGGGGAUAACAGUUGGAAACGGCUGCUAAUACCGCAUAAGCGCACGGCACCGCAUGAUGCAGUGUGAAAAACUCCGGUGGUAUAAGAUGGACCCGCGUUGGAUUAGCUAGUUGGUGAGGUAACGGCCCACCAAGGCGACGAUCCAUAGCCGACCUGAGAGGGUGACCGGCCACAUUGGGACUGAGACACGGCCCAAACUCCUACGGGAGGCAGCAGUGGGGAAUAUUGCACAAUGGGCGAAAGCCUGAUGCAGCGACGCCGCGUGAGCGAAGAAGUAUUUCGGUAUGUAAAGCUCUAUCAGCAGGGAAGAUAAUGACGGUACCUGACUAAGAAGCACCGGCUAAAUACGUG